Pan troglodytes (chimpanzee) is the source of this 3497-nucleotide long non-coding RNA. RefSeq lists it as uncharacterized. Lineage: Eukaryota; Metazoa; Chordata; Mammalia; Primates; Hominidae. The record is from RefSeq and is a predicted model, not a curated record. The transcript has 3 exons.
GAAAAUGAAGAACUCAUGUUGUUCAAUGACCAUCCUGUGAUUUUUCCUAGGGUCCAGAUAGAGCAUUGAGAAUCAGCCAGUUAGUUUUACCAGACACGUCUUGCUUAUUUGGCUUUGUGUCAGUGUUCUUGAGUCACCAAAUCUGGUGCCUUACUCAUUUCAGUUUGUCAACUGGGUAAAACAAAACUUACCUCUGUAUAUGGUAUUAAUAAACAAAUGUUGUUGAGCUUCUGUAGAGAGCAGUAGUUGUGGAGUAAAUGUUAUGGCAUAAUUGAAAUUAUGUCUUUUAACUCCCUAAGCAACUGACCUCCCUCCCCACCUGCUUAAAAGUUGGAGUUAUUAUUCACAUCCUGUUUAAAAAUAGCACAAAAUCUGCAGCAGGAUGGGCGUGGAAGUUGUCUGUAGCUUUAAUCACUAAUGACCUCAUCUUCAAAUGGUCAGUGAUAAUAAACAAGAAGGAGGGAUUUCCAAGGGAGCAGAGCAUUAAUAAGCUACUUGUGCAAGAAGCUACAAUGAGAAAAAAAAUAGCAAGAAAUAGACGAGGGAAGGAGGUUCUGUAGAGGGAAAAACAAAGAGAGAAAAGAACAAUGAAUUGUGCUGAGAAAGAGAUGCCUGGAUGAAGAAGCUGGCCCUAGCACCCAUAAAGCUGGAAAGAAAGUGGGGCCUUGGAAACUUCUGGAAGGAUGCGAGGAAAGAAAAAUGCAAGGAAAUGAGAUGGAGAGGAGAAAGAGAAACCAGGAAGCACUUCGGAAGCAUGUAAAUUACAAGGAAAUGAGGAACAGCCUUUAUUGAAACAGUCUGUGAAGUCUGUGCUAGCGCUGAGAGCUUCAUUUUACUGUCCUGGCAAGGAGGUGUGGCCCCUCUCCAGUGCCCAGCACCUCAUCGCUGUGGUAACAGAAGACACGCUUAUCUUCCGGAUUUUGCCUCAGAGACUUGGGCUGUACAAGCUGCUUUCCUGGGGUAGCUUGUCCUUUUGCAGUUAACCGAGAUGCCUGGGGAGAAGAGCUUCCCCCAACAGGAUGGCAGGCGAUGCUUCCAGAUGCGGUCACUUGGCACGUCUGAGCCGAAUGUCUCCAUAAAAAUAUGAUGUAAUUAACAGAGCCGCAGCAGCUGGAACAAUUCAGCACCUCACAUUGAUUUUCCAUGUCUCCUAUUUACUUUCAGUUUUUAAACUGUCUGCAGUGACAGGAAAUCAAAGAAUUAUAAUGGUGUGUGUGAGGGCCCAAUGCUGGGUCGGCAUUUCCUUGUGAAAUCCUGAGAUUAAUCAGUUUCCUAUCACUCAAUCAUCCCUUUUCACUUCUAAAGGAAAACGGUCCUCCCAAAUGCUACGAAACAGCAGUCUAUUUUUGGAUAUUAAAAAAAUCAAUUGUAUUAUUUUAAAAUUUGAGAGGAGUGUUUUUAAAAAAAGUCAGCCCGAAGCAAUAUUCACUUGUCUGUUUUCCCCUUCAAGUUUAAUAGGAGUUGGCAAAGGCAUUUGGGUGCAGUGAGACACAAGUACUAUAUUCACCCUUCCCAAGUUUUGAGAGCUUGGAAAAGUUACUUGGUGGAACCAAAGAGAGGAACUGCAUUCCAAGUUUUUUUGAUCACUGAAAUGAAGGAAAAUAAGUUUCCCAUAUGUGGUUAUUCAUGAGCCUUCAUCUGAAGCUGGUGGUUUUCUCAUAGUUGGUCACUGUAUUUCCAGCUCUGUCAGGUGAAAGUCAGAAUCUUGGGUUAAUUUCACUUUGGGUUCCUUAAAAUGCUGGAGAAAAUAGGCAGCUGCGGUUGUAGUGGGGAAACAGGCCUCUGUCUGAAGUCAGCUUGCUCUAGAUUGUGUUUGAAAACAUGCCUCAGAUUUAAGUGGUCUUGCUUUUUUUCCAGACUCCCUUGCCUUGGCAGAUUCUGUGUCUUGGCCAUACUGUAAGAACUCACUUUUCUUUGUCUUUUUAUUGAUUCAAGCAAUAUAACCAUUUCAUAAAUAAUUAGGAAAAUAAAGAAGAAAAUUUCUCAUAAUUCUACUGCUCAAACGCAAUAGCUAUGAUUGCUUUGGAGCAAUUACUUUGGGUCAUUUUCAAAUGCUGAGUUUUGGUAUGAUUCUAAGCAUAAUGUACAAACAACUUUACAUGUUGCUUUUUCACUUAAUCUAUGUCAGAAGCAUCUCCCCAUGUUAUGAUUAGCUUCAGUAAAUAUCUUUUUAAUUGCUGCCCAAACAGCUGGAACAAUUCAGUCCCUCUUAUUGACUUUCCAUGUGUCCUAUGGAAGUAGAGACACUCUAUUAACUAUUUCUGUAUUUUGGGACAAUAGAUCAAAUUGAUUUUUCACUGUAAUUAAUCCCAUGAUAAGUAUCUUUAUAAAUAAGCCUUUUCUAUAUAUAAGAUAAUUUCUUUAGGAUAAAUUCCUAGAAAUUACAGGGUCAAAGUGGAUACAUAUUUUAUGACUCUUGAUAUUUCUUAUUGAUCUUUAAAGCUAUUAUGUGACUUUAUAUUAUCACCUAAAAUGUUUGAGGAAUUCAUGCUUUACGAGCGUAUUUUAUUGACUAAAUAUGCAGUACUGAGAGAGCUUUAUGUGUGCAGUUUGAUGAUGCUGACAGAUAUCCCGGAGAUAAACAUUUUUUAAUUUAAAGAUGUUCUGUUUAUGUUUAACAUACAGAAGUUAAUGUUAAACAUGAUGCCUAUUUUGUUUAACAUACAGAAGUGACUUUAUUAAAGCCAUUUCUUCUAAAUGUGCAAUAAACUAUGAAUUCUUUGCCUGGUUCUAAUGUUCUAUCUCAUCAAACCUCAUAAAACUAAUUAGCAUCAUACCCCCUCAGUUUGCCUGUGAAUUUUGAAGAUGAUAUGAAUUUCUCUUCCAUGUGAAAUAGAAUUUGGUGGGUAUCCCUUUGCUGGGAAUAACUCCUUUGAAAAAUAGAAAAAAUACUGAGCAGAAAGAAAGUACAUUUUCUGGGAAAAGAAUAAGAACCCAGAGAGAUGGAGUGAGAAUUGUACCACAGAGUCCCAGCAGCAGAUGUUUUGGGUGUUGAAACUCCCACCAGAACAGCUGCAGAAAUGUAGAAUCACAUCUGGGUGUGUGACGCGGCUGCAUCAUUACCUACAGACAGCAAAACAGCCAGAUGCUUCCAAUUCAUUUUAAGGACCAGGCUUCAGGUCUGAACCUGUGAAUGUCUCCACUUCCCGACCAACAACUUAUCAAUUGCCGAGACAGCUCAUGAAAACUUCGCCUCGCGGGCACUUUAAGGACAAAUCUCGGUUGCAGCAGGUAGAGGCAGAGUGCAGCUGCUGCACACCCGGCCCUGCAGCUCUAGCUCUGCUCUCGGGCUGGAGGAUAAAGCCAUCAAAGCCCUUCCACACGACGGUUCCUGCAUGGCUUGUCACCGGUGCAUGAGGCUUCUGAGGGCGAAUUCUGUUUAAUCUCCACUCUAGUUCUUCAAAUUCUCAUCUCUCUCUCCCUUUUUUUCUCUUUCCUCUUUCACUGUCUCCUCUCUCACUCUGCGCGUGUGUGUGAGAGAGUAUCUCUCCCUCUCU